GACGGGGGAUGCGAGCGUUAUCCGGAAUUAUUGGGCGUAAAGCGCCUGCAGGCGGUCCGGCAAGUCCGAGGUCAAAUACCACGGCCCAACCCUGGGAAGGCAACGGAGACUGUCGGACUAGAGGAUGGUAGAGGUAGGGGGAACUCCUAGUGUAGCGGUAAAAUGCGUAGAUAUUAGGAAGAACACCAGCGGCGAAGGCGCCCUACUGGACCAUUUCUGACGCUCAGAGGCGAAAGCUAGGGGAGCGAGAGGG
RNAcentral lists this ribosomal RNA (253 nucleotides) under uncultured bacterium. RNAcentral describes it as "partial 16S ribosomal RNA". It matches the Rfam family "Bacterial small subunit ribosomal RNA", at positions 524 to 776 of the family's 1533-position model. The record is from RNAcentral.